Molecule: non-coding RNA, 1113 nt
Organism: Paramuricea clavata
Lineage: Eukaryota; Metazoa; Cnidaria; Anthozoa; Malacalcyonacea; Plexauridae
Source: the annotation of a GenBank genome assembly
AAAAUUUCUGUGCUUUGCCUUUGGCUUUUUUGUAUUGAAAAUUUGACAAUUUAAUAAUUGCACUCGUUGACAUACUUCAAAAGUCGGGGGCUUAACUCGAGCAACAACUUUUUUGUCAAACUUCGAGUUAAGCCCCGGGGCUUAACUCCAAUGACCCAAAUCAUGUUUCGUUCUUCGAGUUAAGCCCUUUUGGAAAAAGGGCGUGGUCAUGGCAAAACAGGGCGUGGCCGGGGCUUAACUCGAAAAGGGCUUAACUCGAGGGGCUUAACUCGAAGGGCUUAACUCGAAGAUUCCCGACCUCUACUGUGUGUCCCUAAUUGACUUGUGUGGCCGCCGGCUUUUGCCUGGUGGUUCCCGAAGUAGUUGUGCCAUUGUAUAGGAAUUGGUCAAUUUUACUGGAAAAUUUGAAACAAUUCCAUACUGUGGAAAUUCUACGGAAAUGAUAUGGAAAGAGUUAGAAAUUCAAUUUCCAAUCUUUUGCACACUAACAUGGUAUGGAAAUUUUUUUUGAAUAUGCGUGGGAAAUUUGUAGAAAACCUAAAUCUAUCCAAACCAUGGAAACUUUUCAAAUUUUACACACGCACAAAUAAGUCGUGACAACGAAAACUUGUCAAAGAAAACUAAGCUUUUUUGGUACACCGCAAACCUGAAACGGUUUGUGAUGGGCUUAUACAUGGGGUAGCUUAUACAUGGGGUAGCUUGAUAAACAAGUGGGGUUAUAUUUGGGUGGGCUUAUAUUUAGGUGGGCUUAUAUUUGAGUGAGCUUAUAUUCGGGGGGCUUAUAUUUGGAUUGGUGUGAACGUUAGUGUGACGGGCUUAUAGACGGGGCGGGGCGCUUAUUUUCGGGGGGACUUAUAAUCGGAGGUUUACAGCAUAUUUGUAUGUAGCUUCGUUUUUCUGAUAUUUAGACAAGUGUUCCGAAUCCUUACAGUUGCAUAGUAUAAUAAAAUAUAAUCAUUACAUGUAUUUUAAAAUCGAUAAUUAUACAUUAUUUACAUCAUAGCAUAGUUUUCCUUUGUUGUACAGUAUUUUCGCUAUUAAAUUUUGUGGGUUAUUAAUUGAUUGAUUUACCUGUUUUAUCAGUAAUAUAUAGUACCUUAGUCCUUACUGUCA